UUAAGCGACUAAGCGUACACGGUGGAUGCCCUGGCAGUCAGAGGCGAUGAAGGACGUGCUAAUCUGCGAUAAGCGUCGGUAAGGUGAUAUGAACCGUUAUAACCGGCGAUUUCCGAAUGGGGAAACCCAGUGUGAUUCGUCACACUAUCAUUAACUGAAUCCAUAGGUUAAUGAGGCGAACCGGGGGAACUGAAACAUCUAAGUACCCCGAGGAAAAGAAAUCAACCGAGAUUCCCCCAGUAGCGGCGAGCGAACGGGGAGGAGCCCAGAGCCUGAAUCAGUGUGUGUGUUAGUGGAAGCGUCUGGAAAGGCGCGCGAUACAGGGUGACAGCCCCGUACACAAAAAUGCACAUGCUGUGAGCUCGAUGAGUAGGGCGGGACACGUGGUAUCCUGUCUGAAUAUGGGGGGACCAUCCUCCAAGGCUAAAUACUCCUGACUGACCGAUAGUGAACCAGUACCGUGAGGGAAAGGCGAAAAGAACCCCGGCGAGGGGAGUGAAAAAGAACCUGAAACCGUGUACGUACAAGCAGUGGGAGCACGCUUCGGCGUGUGACUGCGUACCUUUUGUAUAAUGGGUCAGCGACUUAUAUUCUGUAGCAAGGUUAACCGAAUAGGGGAGCCGAAGGGAAACCGAGUCUUAACUGGGCGUUAAGUUGCAGGGUAUAGACCCGAAACCCGGUGAUCUAGCCAUGGGCAGGUUGAAGGUUGGGUAACACUAACUGGAGGACCGAACCGACUAAUGUUGAAAAAUUAGCGGAUGACUUGUGGCUGGGGGUGAAAGGCCAAUCAAACCGGGAGAUAGCUGGUUCUCCCCGAAAGCUAUUUAGGUAGCGCCUCGUGAAUUCAUCUCCGGGGGUAGAGCACUGUUUCGGCAAGGGGGUCAUCCCGACUUACCAACCCGAUGCAAACUGCGAAUACCGGAGAAUGUUAUCACGGGAGACACACGGCGGGUGCUAACGUCCGUCGUGAAGAGGGAAACAACCCAGACCGCCAGCUAAGGUCCCAAAGUCAUGGUUAAGUGGGAAACGAUGUGGGAAGGCCCAGACAGCCAGGAUGUUGGCUUAGAAGCAGCCAUCAUUUAAAGAAAGCGUAAUAGCUCACUGGUCGAGUCGGCCUGCGCGGAAGAUGUAACGGGGCUAAACCAUGCACCGAAGCUGCGGCAGCGACGCUUAUGCGUUGUUGGGUAGGGGAGCGUUCUGUAAGCCUGUGAAGGUGUACUGUGAGGUAUGCUGGAGGUAUCAGAAGUGCGAAUGCUGACAUAAGUAACGAUAAAGCGGGUGAAAAGCCCGCUCGCCGGAAGACCAAGGGUUCCUGUCCAACGUUAAUCGGGGCAGGGUGAGUCGACCCCUAAGGCGAGGCCGAAAGGCGUAGUCGAUGGGAAACAGGUUAAUAUUCCUGUACUUGGUGUUACUGCGAAGGGGGGACGGAGAAGGCUAUGUUGGCCGGGCGACGGUUGUCCCGGUUUAAGCGUGUAGGCUGGUUUUCCAGGCAAAUCCGGAAAAUCAAGGCUGAGGCGUGAUGACGAGGCACUACGGUGCUGAAGCAACAAAUGCCCUGCUUCCAGGAAAAGCCUCUAAGCAUCAGGUAACAUCAAAUCGUACCCCAAACCGACACAGGUGGUCAGGUAGAGAAUACCAAGGCGCUUGAGAGAACUCGGGUGAAGGAACUAGGCAAAAUGGUGCCGUAACUUCGGGAGAAGGCACGCUGAUAUGUAGGUGAAGUCCCUCGCGGAUGGAGCUGAAAUCAGUCGAAGAUACCAGCUGGCUGCAACUGUUUAUUAAAAACACAGCACUGUGCAAACACGAAAGUGGACGUAUACGGUGUGACGCCUGCCCGGUGCCGGAAGGUUAAUUGAUGGGGUUAGCGGUAACGCGAAGCUCUUGAUCGAAGCCCCGGUAAACGGCGGCCGUAACUAUAACGGUCCUAAGGUAGCGAAAUUCCUUGUCGGGUAAGUUCCGACCUGCACGAAUGGCGUAAUGAUGGCCAGGCUGUCUCCACCCGAGACUCAGUGAAAUUGAACUCGCUGUGAAGAUGCAGUGUACCCGCGGCAAGACGGAAAGACCCCGUGAACCUUUACUAUAGCUUGACACUGAACAUUGAGCCUUGAUGUGUAGGAUAGGUGGGAGGCUUUGAAGUGUGGACGCCAGUCUGCAUGGAGCCGACCUUGAAAUACCACCCUUUAAUGUUUGAUGUUCUAACGUUGACCCGUAAUCCGGGUUGCGGACAGUGUCUGGUGGGUAGUUUGACUGGGGCGGUCUCCUCCUAAAGAGUAACGGAGGAGCACGAAGGUUGGCUAAUCCUGGUCGGACAUCAGGAGGUUAGUGCAAUGGCAUAAGCCAGCUUGACUGCGAGCGUGACGGCGCGAGCAGGUGCGAAAGCAGGUCAUAGUGAUCCGGUGGUUCUGAAUGGAAGGGCCAUCGCUCAACGGAUAAAAGGUACUCCGGGGAUAACAGGCUGAUACCGCCCAAGAGUUCAUAUCGACGGCGGUGUUUGGCACCUCGAUGUCGGCUCAUCACAUCCUGGGGCUGAAGUAGGUCCCAAGGGUAUGGCUGUUCGCCAUUUAAAGUGGUACGCGAGCUGGGUUUAGAACGUCGUGAGACAGUUCGGUCCCUAUCUGCCGUGGGCGCUGGAGAACUGAGGGGGGCUGCUCCUAGUACGAGAGGACCGGAGUGGACGCAUCACUGGUGUUCGGGUUGUCAUGCCAAUGGCACUGCCCGGUAGCUAAAUGCGGAAGAGAUAAGUGCUGAAAGCAUCUAAGCACGAAACUUGCCCCGAGAUGAGUUCUCCCUGACUCCUUGAGAGUCCUGAAGGAACGUUGAAGACGACGACGUUGAUAGGCCGGGUGUGUAAGCGCAGCGAUGCGUUGAGCUAACCGGUACUAAUGAACCGUGAGGCUUAACCU
RNAcentral lists this ribosomal RNA (2903 nucleotides) under Escherichia coli. Its description in RNAcentral is "23S ribosomal RNA". It matches the Rfam family "Bacterial large subunit ribosomal RNA". The record is from RNAcentral. Lineage: Bacteria; Pseudomonadati; Pseudomonadota; Gammaproteobacteria; Enterobacterales; Enterobacteriaceae.